Molecule: ribosomal RNA, 196 nt
Filed under: uncultured bacterium
Lineage: Bacteria
Description: partial 16S ribosomal RNA
Rfam family: Bacterial small subunit ribosomal RNA
Source: RNAcentral
GUCUGCAACUCGACUACAUGAAGCUGGAAUCGCUAGUAAUCGCAAAUCAGAAUGUUGCGGUGAAUACGUUCCCGGGUCUUGUACACACCGCCCGUCACACCAUGGGAGUCGGAAAUGCCCGAAGUCUGUGACCCAACGAAAGAGGGAGCAGCCGAAGGCAGGUCUGAUAACUGGGGUGAAGUCGUAACAAGGUAUC